This is a long non-coding RNA of Eurytemora carolleeae, 453 nucleotides long. RefSeq lists it as uncharacterized. The record is from RefSeq and is a predicted model, not a curated record. The transcript has 2 exons. NCBI's taxonomy places the organism in Eukaryota, Metazoa, Arthropoda, Copepoda, Calanoida, Temoridae.
ACUCACAUUGGGACUCAUGGACCUGAUGAUUUUUAGCGUCAAGUUUGUGACUCACAUUGGACUCAUGGAACUGAUGAUUUUUAGCUUCAAGUUUGUGACUCACAUUGGGACUCAUGGACCUGAUGAUUUUUAGCUUCAAGUUUGUGACUCACAUUGGGACUCAUGGACCUGAUGAGUUUUAGCUUCUAGAUUGUGGCUCACAAUUUUCUAUUUUCUAGUUAUUUAUUAUGAUUAUUUUGAGAUAAUAAGAUACUUUGUUGAUAUUUAUUUUCUUCAGAAACUAUUAUUAAUUAGAAAAAUAUAAGGAGUAUUGGGUUAAUCCUAAGCUCUAUCCGUUCUGCGAAAAAUGUCCACCCUUUUUGAAUUUUUUUUUGACACUAAUGCUUUGAUUUAGCUAGAAUUAUUAUACAUAAAUAUAAUGAAUGAUAAAAAAUAUAUUUUAUUUCUUCCAGA